UGCCUGAGCCAGUCGCUUGCUCUAGGGAG
Molecule: non-coding RNA, 29 nt
Filed under: Rattus norvegicus (Norway rat)
Lineage: Eukaryota; Metazoa; Chordata; Mammalia; Rodentia; Muridae
Source: RNAcentral